Molecule: long non-coding RNA, 725 nt
Organism: Physella acuta
Lineage: Eukaryota; Metazoa; Mollusca; Gastropoda; Physidae
Source: RefSeq, a predicted model, not a curated record
AUUUUAAAGCAGCUCGAUUGAAGUCAAGAGAAGCAAGUUGCUCUGGUCGUACACGACCAGGGCGGACACCAUGAGAAGAUGCCUCUUCACUUCCUGGUGUUGCUCUACAUCCGGGCUAUUUUGGCAACACAGCUCUGCCCACCAGCCGAAGAGGGGACCUCCUAUCAUUGUCACGUGACCGUCAAUAACACAGAAGAGCGUACGGUGGUCUUAAGGAGAGAUGGCAAGGUCUAUGCUCAGUGCGACUGGUCAAGACUGACACUGACUGUCAUAAUGUGGACAAUACUGACUUGACAGUUGGGCUUGAUGUCAGGGAGACAAUGUCACAUUUGAGUUCAGAAUGGCUAACGUUACCAGGGACAAUGACCAAGCUAUGUGGAGUGUUGAGACCUAUCUUGACAAGGCGAUACCAGAUGUCCUAUUUCGUUUUAGGACUCUGGUUUACGUGAAGAUAAAAGACGUCCCAGCUGAACACGACAUGGUCAAGCAAAGGUCUAAUCGUCACAAUUGUCGUGCCAGUGUUGACCUAUCAACCCACACAGAUCAAGCUACUUCACGACACUCCAAAAACUGCUUCUUCUUGUAACAAACACACACGUGGGAAAGAAAACUCCUAACUUCAGGUCCACAUGCGUUAUCUCCCUUGAUGUUGAGCAACCCACCAAAGCCAACCUGGACUUCCUGUUGUAUCCGAAGAUUUCCGGGUUGUCUGAAGAUGAGGGUGU